Molecule: ribosomal RNA, 117 nt
Filed under: Triticum aestivum (bread wheat)
Lineage: Eukaryota; Viridiplantae; Streptophyta; Magnoliopsida; Poales; Poaceae
Description: partial small subunit ribosomal RNA
Source: RNAcentral
GGAAUCAAAUACGCAGUAUUUACAAAAAAAAGUCUUCGUUUAUUGGGAAAGAAUCAAUAUACUUUUAAUGUCGAAUCGUUUUUUCUCUUCCUCUUUAUACUUAAUUCACUCACUUAG